GGCGAACGGGUGAGUAAUACGUGAGUGACCUUCCCUUGACUCUGGGAUAAGCCCGGGAAACUGGGUCUAAUACCGGAUAUUCACUUCCUCCUGCCUGGGGGGUGGUGGAAAGGGUUUUUGUACUGGUCUUGGAUGGGCUCACGGCCUAUCAGCUUGUUGGUGAGGUAAUGGCUUACCAAGGCGACGACGGGUAGCCGGCCUGAGAGGGUGACCGGCCACACUGGGACUGAGACACGGCCCAG
Molecule: ribosomal RNA, 242 nt
Filed under: uncultured bacterium
Lineage: Bacteria
Description: partial 16S ribosomal RNA
Rfam family: Bacterial small subunit ribosomal RNA
Source: RNAcentral